GUCUACAGCCAUGCCACCCUGAACACACCUGAUCCUGUCUGAUCUCGGAAGCUAAGCAGGGUCAGACCUGGUUAGUACUUCGAUGGGAGACCACCUAGGAAAACCAGGUGCUAUAGGCG
Molecule: ribosomal RNA, 119 nt
Filed under: Pteropus alecto (black flying fox)
Lineage: Eukaryota; Metazoa; Chordata; Mammalia; Chiroptera; Pteropodidae
Also listed under: 1 other name
Source: RNAcentral